AGGAAUUUUCUCUCUGUUUUAAAGUAAAAAACACACUUUUCACUUAAAUAUGUUUCUAAAUUUCUAUUUCCACUGUAGUCAUUAGCUGGACAUGUGCCGCUCCAAAAGAGAAUGUUAACCUUCGUCUCUUUUGUCGUCAUAAAUGCACAUUCAUGUUUUACAGAGUGCUUCCCUGCAGCAGAUAAAUAUUGAAACCAUUAACACCUUUUGAUGUAUGGUACAGUCUGCAUCUUAGACCCACACAUGGCUGGCCGGCUGUGGUCCCUCCGUGCCGCACACCUGGCCGGGGACCCUGACUCUUCUCUGAGGACAGUGAGCAGCAGUAAUGCCUGUUUCCUUUUCUGGAAAACAGGAUUCUUUUUGAAAAUUUCAUCAGAAGGUGGUGUUUAUUUGUAUUAAAGCAAUGCAUUUAAAUAUUA
RNAcentral lists this long non-coding RNA (419 nucleotides) under Homo sapiens (human). Its description in RNAcentral is "HSALNT0360652". Lineage: Eukaryota; Metazoa; Chordata; Mammalia; Primates; Hominidae. The record is from RNAcentral.